CAUUGACUUUGCUUGUCCAAAGGUGGCAAAAGAUAAAUGGAAUACGAACAAGCAAAGCCAAGCAAAGAUAUCACUUUAUAUGUAAUGCAUACUUAAUCAUAUCAAGGCACCAUAUCUCUAUCCAAGCUCUGCUUAUGAUCUAUAUAAUGAUGAAACCAGUGUAAUUGCUAAUGCGUUGUAAGUCAGAUGUCUCAUGGUUUCCCUGGAACACAGUGACUGACACCAAAUAGAUGAGGAAACAUUGUGAAAUAUUUUGGUAAAACAUAAGGACCGGACUUGAAAUUGUGACUGUAUUCUGAUUAUUAGUAACAAAAAAAAUUAAAUCAGCAAAUUACUGUCAGCAUCUGUGACAACCCAAUGAAUGCCAUAGCUUUAUAUAUCUUUGCUAUUUACCUUGUAUUCAACUGAAAUGCUUUUUAUUGAACACAUUCUACUUUAUAUUGUUUCUGACUAGUUUAUAUGAUUGGGCAAAAUAAUGGACAGUGUUUCACAUGAACAAGCAGUGCCAAGAGUGUUACUGUUUCUGUUCUGAAAAAUAACAGCAACACCCCCUAACCCCAAUCCAUUGGCCCCAAGCCUGCAGACUUUUGGAAAACCUUUAAAAACUGAAUUUUCCAAAAGAUUCAAAGUCAGGGGGAAUGUUUGCCAUUUUCAUUUUUGUAUUCCCUGAUGUGCUGUUGUUCACAUAUUUGUUUCAACAUUUAAACUUUAUAGCAAUAAACUAUUCUGCAAAGGUCUUGAAACUGAAAAGUGAAUAUUAAAAGACCAGAAUUUUUUACA
Thamnophis sirtalis is the source of this 780-nucleotide non-coding RNA. NCBI's taxonomy places the organism in Eukaryota, Metazoa, Chordata, Lepidosauria, Squamata, Natricidae. The record is from RefSeq and is a predicted model, not a curated record.